UACGUAGGCAGCAAGCGUUGUCCGGAAUUACUGGGCGUAAAGAGCUCGUAGGCGGUUUGUCGCGUCUGCCGUGAAAGUCCGGGGCUCAACUCCGGAUCUGCGGUGGGUACGGGCAGACUAGAGUGAUGUAGGGGAGACUGGAAUUCCUGGUGUAGCGGUGAAAUGCGCAGAUAUCGGGAGGAACACCAGUGGCGAAGGCGGCUUUCUGGGCAUUUCCUGACGCUGAGACGCGAAAGCGUGGGGAGCGAACAGG
RNAcentral lists this ribosomal RNA (253 nucleotides) under uncultured bacterium. RNAcentral describes it as "partial 16S ribosomal RNA". It matches the Rfam family "Bacterial small subunit ribosomal RNA", at positions 524 to 776 of the family's 1533-position model. The record is from RNAcentral.